RNAcentral lists this long non-coding RNA (7664 nucleotides) under Homo sapiens (human). Its description in RNAcentral is "HSALNT0338943". The record is from RNAcentral. Lineage: Eukaryota; Metazoa; Chordata; Mammalia; Primates; Hominidae.
GUGCAGGAACCCUCACCCGCCCGAGCGGGGCCCUGGGCCUCCGGGUCACUCUCUGUGGCGGGGUCUGGCUGCGCGUCAGACGGCCUCCUCCAAUGCCCGCAGUUGCUGUCGCCCCCAGGCCUGGACCGGGGAGUGAGGGGUGGGCCUGACCGGCCCCUGAGCUCCCGUCAGCCCCCCACGCGAGCCCGUCCUGUGCUGGGGGCAGGGAGAUGGGCCGGUGGGAGAGGAGACCGCAUCCAGCCCUCCCUGGCCACCUGCAGGGUCCCCACCGUGGCGGCUGCUUUACUGCUAACUCCUCCCGGGGACCCCAAGUCCCCAUCGCUCUCGGGGGUCCCCCUCAUCCGAACCGCCUCGGAGGAGGGCCGCAUCUCACGCGGAGCACCCCUCCACGCCUGUGACCCUGGACUUGCUCUCCCGCCCCCGCCCGGGCCUCAGGGCUCAGGAGGCCGUGAUGAAGCCAGCAGGUGAACUGCACCCUGGAGCCUCCGACGGGGCGGCCACGGGCAGCGAAGAACCCGGAAAAACAGUACCCUUCUGAGGUUAAUCCGCGUUGAUAGAAGCAGGUGUGGUUCAUCUGGAAUCUGUUGGUGUGAACUGCGCGGCGGCGUCCCCCACCAGGCACCACAGCGGGCGCCUCUUGGUAGCAGCCACCGGCCUCUUCUGGGACUCGCCGGAGGGUUUCCACGUCGCCCGCUCCGACGGGGCUGUUCAUCUCCCCUUGAUCUGUGGGACUCCCCGUCCGUCUCAGGUAUGACCCCUUUGUUGGUGAUCUGGGUUGCAGAUAUCCCCUCUGUGUCUGUGGCUUGUCUCGCUGCGUUGUUUAUGGUGCGCUUUUGUCAUGCAGACGUUUCUAAUUUUGCUCUGUCUGGACUUGGCAAUCUUUCUGUUCGUGAUUUGUGCUUUUGGUGUUUAUGUACAAACUCUUUCCCGGUCCAGAAAGCAUAAAAAAGUUUGCUUUGUGCGCUGAGGUCUCUAAUCCAUGUCACAGGAAUUUGUGGCGGGUUGGGGCAGAGGCUUUGCUUAGCGUUUUCCAUCAGGUGAGCCCAUUUCCCCAGAUUGACUGCACAGCCCGUGCUCCGCAGGGUCCCACACUGGCCUCUCUGAGAGGCUGUGUUGCUAGACCUCCAUCUACUCAAAGCUUCCGGGUGAUGAAUGGGGAGAUUUGAGUUUCUGGAAGCCAAGGGGAGGGGCACAGGAUUGCAGGAGCAGAGAGAGGUGAGGAGGGCCUGGGGUGACAGGUGGCUGCCCCACUCAUAGGUGGCCAGAUCCCGGGGAAGGGGUGGCAGGUGGGGAACUCCUGGGGGGUGCAGUGGGAAUAAUACAACAAACCAAGACUCAAGACCAGCCUGGGCAGCACGGCGAGGCCUGUCUACUAAAAAUACAAGCAUUAGCCCGGUGUGGUGACGCAAGCCUGUCAUCCCAGCACUCUGGGAGGCCAAGGUGGGAGAGGGGGGUCACCUGAGGUCAGCCUGGGCAACAGGGCGGAACUCCGUCUUUACUAAAAAUUCAAAAAUUAACCGGGCGUGGUGGCAGGUGCCUGUAAUCCCAGCACUUGGGGAGGCUGAAGUGGGCGGAUCACUUGAGGUCAGGAAUUCGAGACCAGCCUGGCCGACACGGUGGAACCCCAUCUCUACUAAAAAUACAAGAAUUAGCAGGGUGCAGUGGCUGACGCCUGUAAUCCCAGCACCUUGGGAGGCCGAGGCGGGCUGAUCACCUGAGCUCAGGAGUUUGAGACCAGCCUGGCCAACAUGGCGAGACCCUGUCUCUACUGAAAAUACAAAAUUAGCUGGGCGUGGUAGCAGGCACCUGUAGUCUCAGCUACUCAGGAGGCUGAGGCAUGAGAAUCAUUUGAACCCAGGAGACGGAGGUUACAGUGAGCCAAGAUCACACCACUGCACUCUAGCCGGGGUGACAGAGCAAGAUUCUGUAUCAAAACAAAAACAAAUGAAGAAAGGAGACAUUCCAAAGGGAAGGACAGCAUUCAGGUUCUGUUUUUGGGGUUCUGUGAUGAUAUAAGCAUCCUUCAUUCCCUCAAAAGCUUCCCAUAGGUCUACUGCGUACACAAAGGCCUUGUUUGAGGGUUGGUCUUCAAGGCGGGCGAGCACAGGGCCUCACGUUGGGGCACCCAGCUCCCUGCCAGCCCAGCCUAUCCGACCCGUGAGACCUCUCUGCCCUCAGGUCCCCCCGCCCCAGGAAGUGAGGCGUGUGAAGUAAGGUAGGGGAGAUGGGGGAGUGGGGUGGAGGCAGUGGGCUUGUGUCGUCAAAGUCAGCCCAGGCUCACCAUCUACCUGCUAUGCCAGCAAGGGUCCCAGAGGGGCCCAGGCUCACUCAAGGCUACGUGGCAAGUUAGAAGAGUGAGAAGCAGGGCUGGUGAGGCUACUCACACCUAUAAUCUCACUGCUUUGGGGGUCCAAGGCAAGAGGAUCCCAUGAUCCCAGGAGGUUGAGACCAGCCUGGGCAACAUAGCAAGACUCUAUCUCUGUAAAAUUUGUUUAAAAAAUUAGCUGGGGGGGGCAUCAGGCGCGGUGGCUCACACCUGUAAUCCCAGCACUUUGGGAGGCCGACGUGGGCGGAUCACAAGGUCAGGAGAUCAAGACCAUCCUGGCUAACACGGUGAAACCCUGUCUCUACUAAAAAAAAAAAAAUACAAAAAAAUUAGCUGGGCGUGGUGGCAGGCACCUGUAGUCCCAGCUGCUCGGGAGGCUGAGGCAGGAGAAUGGCGUGAACCUGGGAGGUGUAGCUUGCAGUGAGCCGAGGUCACGCCACUGCACUCCAGCCUGGGUGACAGAGCGAGACUCUGUCUCCAAAAAAAAAAAAAAAUUAGCUGGGGGUUGGCAGCCCCAGCACUCUGGGAGGCCGAAGCAGGAGGAUCACUUGUGAUCAGGAUUUCAAGACCAGCCUGGCCACGAUGGUGAAACCCACAUCUCUACUAAAAAUACAAAAAUUAGCCAGGUGUGAUGGUGCACGCCUAUAAUCCCAGCUACUGGAGGCAGGACAAUCACUUGAACCCAGGAGGCAGAUGCAGUGAGCUGAGAUCAUGCCAUUGCACUCCAGUCUGGGUGACAAAGCCAGACCCUGUCUUUAAAAAAAAAAAAAAAAAAAAAAAAAGCCAGGCAUGGUGGUGCACACGUGAUCUCAGUUACUCGGGAGACUGAGGCAGGAGAAUUGCUUGAACCUGGGAGGUAGUGGGUGCAGUGAGUCAAGAUCACGCCACUGCACUCCAGCCUGGGCGACAGAGCCAGACUCCAUCUCAAAAAAAAAAAAAAUAUAUAUAUAUAUAUAUAUGUAUAUAUAUAGCUGCGUAUGCUGGCAUGAACCUGUAGUCCCAGCUACUCAGGAGGCUGAGAUGAGAGGAUCACUUGAGCCCAGGAGGUCGAUGCUGCAGUAAGCUAUGAUCACACCACUGCACUGCAGCCUGGGUGACAGAGAGAAACACUCAGAAAAAAGAAAAGCUAGGGGCCGACCCCAGACUCUGUGCUCCCAGAGGCAGCUCUGCCUGUGCAGGACAGCAGCCACGGCCGAGGGUGGGGACGCCUGGAGAUGCCCAGUGAUGCUGCCCCGGCGUCUUCUCCUCCACCCGGCCCUCCUCCUCACUCAGUCCCUGGGCUCACACCUCACACCACGGGGACAUGGGGUACAAUGCGGAUGCUCAGGUAGGAGUUAGAGGCUCGGGCCCCAGGGAAAUGGAAGCACUGGAGCCAUUGUCAGAAAAGCAGGGGUAGCUGGGCAUCUAGGGGCCUGGGUGGGCCGGGAGGUAUAUUCGUUUGCGAGCAGGGCUGUAGCAGGUGUGACAGAGCAGAGGGUUGAACAACAGGCAAUUACUUCUCACCGUGCUGUAGGCUGGAGUCCAAGAUGAAGGUGUCCUCAGGGCAGAUUCCUCCUGAGGCCUCGCUCCUGGGCUUGCAGACGCGGUCUCCCCCAUGUCCUCAUGGGGUCAGCCCUGUGUGUCCUGAUUUCCUCUUCUUAGAAGGACACCAGUUGGGAUUGGAUUAAGGCCCACCCCUAUGACCUCAUCUCAUCUUAAUCACCUCUUUUCAUUUGUUUUUUGUUUUUGAGACGGAGUCUCGCUCUGUCACCCAGGCUGGAGUGCAGUGGCGUGAUCUUGGCUCACUGCAACCUCUGCCUCCCAGGUUCAAGCUAUUCUCCUGCCUCAGCCUCCCUAGUAGCUAGGAUUACAGGCACGUACCACCAUGGCUGGCUAAUUUUUGUAUUUUUAGUAGAGAUAGGGUUUCACCAUGUUGGCCAGGCUGGUCUUGAACUCCUGACCUCGUGAUCUGCCCACCUCAGCCCCCCAAAGUGCUGGAAUUAUAGGCGUGAGCCACCGCGCCCGGGCUUAAUCGCCUCUUUAAAGGCUGUGUCUCCAAACAGAGUCUCAUUCUGAGGUUCUGGGGUCAAGUCUUCAGGGUAUGAAGCUGGGGGAACACAACAGAGCCCCUAAAAGGGGGCACAGGGAUGGAGGAAUGUGAGGGGCGGUGGGACCUGGAGCCAUUGGCCCAGCCCUUUCCACCUGCAAGGGGCCUGCGGGAGGUCCCAUGAAUGGGGGUGUGGGUAUCACUGAAGAUGGGUGUGUGCAGGGUGUGACAACAUGUGGGACAUGGGACUGCCAGGACAGAGACACCUUGGGGGCCUUUUAAGGGUCAGGGACCCCACACCAUGCCAUCAGCAGGAAGCCUCAGGGACAGGUGGCAUUGAGAACCCACUGCCCUGCCUUCUACACAUUAGGAGCCCAGACCCAGCACUGCAAGGAGAAGGGAGGGGAGCUGAGAUGGUCAGAGGCUGUUUCCAUCGCCCUAGAGAGGCAGAGGCAGCCCACAGCCCGGUUACAGAUAAUCACGAAUUGCCCCUUCCCCAGCACCCCUCAGUUUGGGGCCCGAGCUGGCCCUGCAACAUGCCUGUGUCUUGUUGCUUCUCUUGGGGUCCACACAUCCACCCAGAGUCUGGGGCAAAGUCACCAAGAAAGACCAGUUCCCUCCAAGCCAGAAACAGGAAUUCUUGAAGCCACAGUAGUUAAGAGUUCCCUCGUCCAGGGACACCACCAGCUCAGAGCUAGCGGCUGUACCUGUAGGAAGAAGAGGGGUCUGGGGAAGAGGAGGGAUCCCUAACAGGCCAGCUCCCCACUGCUCUCUCCCCCAUGCCUUGUCAUUGGAUCUGAAGCCUGAAAGCUGUGGGCUGGGAGGUGGCGUUGGCGGGGUCUUAGGCUUGAAGGCUUAGCUGUGGGUGUGGAGGGGGAACAGCAGCCCCAGUGUCCAGCCCUUGGGCCCCUUCUCCUCCAGCUCCCUCCAGGAACGGGAGUCCUCCCACGGCGGGAUUAGGUGUGGGAGAUGGGACCGGCAGCCCCUCUGAGGCCGUCUGAGCCCCGGGGCAUGAGGCAUCUGCUUCAGACUGUGAGAGGGUUCCACGCAGGUGUGUGGGGAAAGGAAGGGGCCACUGAUCGGGGUGAGCGUGGUGGGGCGUCCACCUUACAUCUCCCCCCUCCCUCCAUUCGGGACUUCACUUGGACAUUACCUUCUCUGUGUUUUAAAUUUGUAUUUAUUUUCAUUACUUUUAAAAGUAAACAAUUUUGUUUUCUGAGACAAGGUCUCUCUUGCUCUGUCACUCAGGCUGGAAGUACGGUGGCACGAUCACAGCUCACUGCGGCCUCAACCGCCUGGGCUCACAUGAUCCUCCUGCCUCAGCCUUCCAAGUAGCCGAGUAGGUGCGUGGCUGGCUGAUUUUUAAAUCUUUUGUAGAGAUGUGGUCUGGCCGGGCCUGGUGGCUGACGCCUGUAAUCCCAGCACUUUGGGAGGCCGAGGCAGAUGGAUCACUUGAGGCCAGGAGUUCAAGACCAGCCUGGACAAUAUGGUGAAACCCCAUCUCUACUAAAAAUACAAAGAUUAGCUGGGCAUGGUGGCAAGUGCCUGUAAUCCCAGCUACUAGGGAGGUUGAGGUGGGGAGAAUUGCGUGAACCCAGGAAGUGGAGGUUGCAGUGAGCCGAGAUCUCACCAUUGCACUCCAGCCUGGGCAGGAGAGCGAGACUCCAUCUCAAAACAAACAAACCCAGAGACAUGGUCUUAGGCUGGUCUCAAACUGCUGGGCUCAAGCGAUCUUUCCACCUUGGCCUCCUAAACUGCUGGGAUUACAGGCAUGAGCCACCGGCACCUGACCCUUUUUUUUUUUUUUUUUUGGUUGUAAAAUUCACAUAAUGUAAAAUUUACUGUUUUAGUCACUUCAAAGUGACAAUACAGUGGAAUCAAUUUCACUCACAAUGUUGCACGACUACCACCCCCAGCUCUCCCUGGUUCCCAAACAUUUUCCCCACUUCCAAAGAAACCCCAUUAAACAGUCACUCCUGAGCCCCUGGCCCUCAGGCCCUGGCAACCACCAAUCAACUUUUGGUCUCUAUGAAUUUGCUUCUUCCAGAGAUGACAUAUUAAUGGAACCCUAUAAUAUGUGCUUUCUUUGUGUCUGGCUUCUUUCACUUACAUCCUAAUGUCUUCAGAGUUGAUCCGUGUUGCAGUGUGUAUCAAUACUUUAUUCCUUUUUCAUGGCUGCAUAAUAUUCCAUGGUAUUGAGAGACCACAUUUUGUUUAUCCAUUCAUCCAUUAAUGGAUAUUUGGGUUGUUUCCACUUUUUGACAAGUGCAAAUAAUGCUCCUAUGAACAUUUGUGUACAAGUUUUUGUGUGACACCUGCUUUCAGUUCUUUGAGGUCUGUACAUAAGAGUGGAAUUGUUGGGUUGUAUUGUAAUGUUCUGCUGAGGAACUGCAAAACCGUUUUCCACAGCGGCUGUACAAUGUUGCAUUGGCACCAGCUUGUGUGAGGAUUCCACUUUCUUCACACCGUCACCAACACCUGUUGCUUCCUUUUUUUUUUUUUUUUUUUUUGAGACGGAGUCUUGCUCUUCCGCCCAGGCUGGAGUGCAGUGGUGCUAUCUCGGCUCACUGCAAUCUCCGCCUCCUGGGUUCACGCCAUUCUCCUGCCUCAGCCUCCCAAGUAGCUGGGACUACAGGCGCCCACCACCGCGCCCAGCUGAUUUUUUGUAUUUUUAGUAGAGACGGAGUUUCACCAUGUUAUCCAGGAUGGUCUCAAUCUCCUGACCUCGUGAUCCGCCUGCCUCGGCCUCCCAAAGUGCUGGGAUUACAGGCGUGAGCCACUGUGCCCAGCCUGCUUUCCUUUUUUUAAAAAAAGAUUAUGACAAACCCAAUGAGUGUGGCUUGGUCUCUCCCUGUGGUUUUGAUUUGCAUUUCCCUAAUGAUUAGCUAUGAGCAGCUUGUCAUGGGCUUGUUGGCCAGUUGUAUGUCUUCUUUGAGGAAAUGUCUUUUGAGAUACUUUGCUCUUUUUUUUUUCUUUUUUUUUUUUGAGACAGAGUCUUUCUCUGUCAUCUAGGCUGGAGUGUAGUGGUGUGAUCUUGGCUCACUGCAACCUCCACCUCCCGGGUUCAAGCAAUUCUCCUGCCUCAGCCUUUUGAGUAGCUAGGACUACAGGUGCUCACCACCAUGCCUGGAUAAUUUUUGUAUUUUUAGUAGAAAUGGGGUUUCACCAUAUUGGCCAGGCUGGUCUCAAACUCCUGACCUUGUGAUCUGCCCUCAUUGGCCUCCCAAAGUGUUGAGAUUAUAAGCGUGAGCCACCGCCCCCGGCCUCUUUGCUCAUUUUUAAGUUGAGUGGUUUGUCUUUUUGUUCUUGAGU